RNAcentral lists this ribosomal RNA (1409 nucleotides) under Escherichia coli. RNAcentral describes it as "bacterial SSU rRNA". It matches the Rfam family "Bacterial small subunit ribosomal RNA". Lineage: Bacteria; Pseudomonadati; Pseudomonadota; Gammaproteobacteria; Enterobacterales; Enterobacteriaceae. The record is from RNAcentral.
CCUUCGAACGGUAACAGGAAGCAGCUUGCUGCUUUGCUGACGAGUGGCGGACGGGUGAGUAAUGUCUGGGAAACUGCCCGAUGGAGGGGGAUAACUACUGGAAACGGUAGCUAAUACCGCAUAACGUCGCAAGACCAAAGAGGGGGACCUUCGGGCCUCUUGCCAUCGGAUGUGCCCAGAUGGGAUUAGCUAGUAGGUGGGGUAACGGCUCACCUAGGCGACGAUCCCUAGCUGGUCUGAGAGGAUGACCAGCCACACUGGAACUGAGACACGGUCCAGACUCCUACGGGAGGCAGCAGUGGGGAAUAUUGCACAAUGGGCGCAAGCCUGAUGCAGCCAUGCCGCGUGUAUGAAGAAGGCCUUCGGGUUGUAAAGUACUUUCAGCGGGGAGGAAGGGAGUAAAGUUAAUACCUUUGCUCAUUGACGUUACCCGCAGAAGAAGCACCGGCUAACUCCGUGCCAGCAGCCGCCCUAAUACAGUGGGUGCAAGCGUUAAUCGGAAUUACUGGGCGUAAAGCGCACGCAGGCGGUUUGUUAAGUCAGAUGUGAAAUCCCCGGGCUCAACCUGGGAACUGCAUCUGAUACUGGCAAGCUUGAGUCUCGUAGAGGGGGGUAGAAUUCCAGGUGUAGCGGUGAAAUGCGUAGAGAUCUGGAGGAAUACCGGUGGCGAAGGCGGCCCCCUGGACGAAGACUGACGCUCAGGUGCGAAAGCGUGGGGAGCAAACAGGAUUAGAUACCCUGGUAGUCCACGCCGUAAACGAUGUCGACUUGGAGGUUGUGCCCUUGAGGCGUGGCUUCCGGAGCUAACGCGUUAAGUCGACCGCCUGGGGAGUACGGCCGCAAGGUUAAAACUCAAAUGAAUUGACGGGGGCCCGCACAAGCGGUGGAGCAUGUGGUUUAAUUCGAUGCAACGCCCGAACCUUACCUGGUCUUGACAUCCACGGAAGUUUUCAGAGAUGAGAAUGUGCCUUCGGGAACCGUGAGACAGGUGCUGCAUGGCUGUCGUCAGCUCGUGUUGUGAAAUGUUGGGUUAAGUCCCGCAACGAGCGCAACCCUUAUCCUUUGUUGCCAGCGGUCCGGCCGGGAACUCAAAGGAGACUGCCAGUGAUAAACUGGAGGAAGGUGGGGAUGACGUCAAGUCAUCAUGGCCCUUACGACCAGGGCUACACACGUGCUACAAUGGCGCAUACAAAGAGAAGCGACCUCGCGAGAGCAAGCGGACCUCAUAAAGUGCGUCGUAGUCCGGAUUGGAGUCUGCAACUCGACUCCAUGAAGUCGGAAUCGCUAGUAAUCGUGGAUCAGAAUGCCACGGUGAAUACGUUCCCGGGCCUUGUACACACCGCCCGUCACACCAUGGGAGUGGGUUGCAAAAGAAGUAGGUAGCUUAACCUUCGGGAGGGCGCUUUGGG